AGCUCUCCGAGUGGUGUGGAUGUUUAUUGGGCCUAAAGCAUCCGUAGCUGGCUAAGUUAGUCCCUUGUUAAAUCCACCGAAUUAAUCGUUGGAUUGCGGGGGAUACUGCUUAGCUAUGGGACGAGAGAGGCAGACGGUAUUUCCGGGGUAGGGGUGAAAUCCUAUAAUCCCGGGAAGACCACCAGUGGCGAAGGCUGUCUGCUAGAACGCGCCCGACGGUGAGGGAUGAAAGCUGGGGGAGCGAACC
Molecule: ribosomal RNA, 247 nt
Filed under: uncultured crenarchaeote
Lineage: Archaea; Thermoproteati; Thermoproteota
Description: partial 16S ribosomal RNA
Rfam family: Archaeal small subunit ribosomal RNA
Source: RNAcentral